Molecule: ribosomal RNA, 465 nt
Filed under: uncultured bacterium
Lineage: Bacteria
Description: partial 16S ribosomal RNA
Rfam family: Bacterial small subunit ribosomal RNA
Source: RNAcentral
GACGAACGCUGGCGGCGUGCUUAACACAUGCAAGUCGAACGGAAAGGCCCCCUUGUGGGGUACUCGAGUGGCGAACGGGUGAGUAACACGUGAGUAACCUACCCUUGACUAUGGGAUAACUUCAGGAAAAUGGGGCUAAUACCGGAUAGGAGCUCCUGCUGCAUGGUGGGGGUUGGAAAGUUUCGGCGGUUGGGGAUGGACUCGCGGCCUAUCAGCUUGUUGGUGGGGUAGUGGCUCACCAAGGCGUUGACGGGUAGCCGGCCUGAGAGGGUGACCGGCCACAUUGGGACUGAGAUACGGCCCAGACUCCUACGGGAGGCAGCAGUGGGGAAUAUUGCACAAUGGGCGGAAGCCUGAUGCAGCAACGCCGCGUGCGGGAUGACGGCCUUCGGGUUGUAAACCGCUUUCGCCUGUGACGAAGCGUGAGUGACGGUAAUUGGUAAAGAAGCACCGGCUAACUACGUG